RNAcentral lists this ribosomal RNA (483 nucleotides) under uncultured bacterium. Its description in RNAcentral is "partial 16S ribosomal RNA". It matches the Rfam family "Bacterial small subunit ribosomal RNA", at positions 30 to 506 of the family's 1533-position model. The record is from RNAcentral.
AUUGAACGCUGGCGGCAGGCCUAACACAUGCAAGUCGAGCGGAUGAAGGAAGCUUGCUCCUGGAUUCAGCGGCGGACGGGUGAGUAAUGCCUAGGAAUCUGCCUGGUAGUGGGGGAUAACGUCCGGAAACGGGCGCUAAUACCGCAUACGUCCUGAGGGAGAAAGUGGGGGAUCUUCGGACCUCACGCUAUCAGAUGAGCCUAGGUCGGAUUAGCUAGUUGGUGGGGUAAAGGCCUACCAAGGCGACGAUCCGUAACUGGUCUGAGAGGAUGAUCAGUCACACUGGAACUGAGACACGGUCCAGACUCCUACGGGAGGCAGCAGUGGGGAAUAUUGGACAAUGGGCGAAAGCCUGAUCCAGCCAUGCCGCGUGUGUGAAGAAGGUCUUCGGAUUGUAAAGCACUUUAAGUUGGGAGGAAGGGCAGUAAGUUAAUACCUUGCUGUUUUGACGUUACCAACAGAAUAAGCACCGGCUAACUUCGU